RNAcentral lists this ribosomal RNA (753 nucleotides) under uncultured Comamonadaceae bacterium. RNAcentral's name for it is "bacterial SSU rRNA". It matches the Rfam family "Bacterial small subunit ribosomal RNA", at positions 28 to 776 of the family's 1533-position model. The record is from RNAcentral. Lineage: Bacteria; Pseudomonadati; Pseudomonadota; Betaproteobacteria; Burkholderiales; Comamonadaceae.
AUUGAACGCUGGCGGCAUGCCUUACACAUGCAAGUCGAACGGCAGCACGGGAGCAAUCCUGGUGGCGAGUGGCGAACGGGUGAGUAAUACAUCGGAACGUGCCCAAUCGCGGGGGAUAACGCAGCGAAAGCUGUGCUAAUACCGCAUACGAUCUACGGAUGAAAGCAGGGGAUCGCAAGACCUUGCGCGAAUGGAGCGGCCGAUGGCAGAUUAGGUAGUUGGUGAGGUAAAGGCUCACCAAGCCGUCGAUCUGUAGCUGGUCUGAGAGGACGACCAGCCACACUGGGACUGAGACACGGCCCAGACUCCUACGGGAGGCAGCAGUGGGGAAUUUUGGACAAUGGGCGAAAGCCUGAUCCAGCCAUGCCGCGUGCAGGAUGAAGGCCUUCGGGUUGUAAACUGCUUUUGUACGGAACGAAACGGCCUUUUCUAAUAAAGAGGGCUAAUGACGGUACCGUAAGAAUAAGCACCGGCUAACUACGUGCCAGCAGCCGCGGUAAUACGUAGGGUGCAAGCGUUAAUCGGAAUUACUGGGCGUAAAGCGUGCGCAGGCGGUUGUGUAAGACAGUUGUGAAAUCCCCGGGCUCAACCUGGGAACUGCAUCUGUGACUGCAUAGCUAGAGUACGGUAGAGGGGGAUGGAAUUCCGCGUGUAGCAGUGAAAUGCGUAGAUAUGCGGAGGAACACCGAUGGCGAAGGCAAUCCCCUGGACCUGUACUGACGCUCAUGCACGAAAGCGUGGGGAGCAAACAGG